This 468-nucleotide ribosomal RNA is filed under the name uncultured bacterium. RNAcentral's name for it is "partial 16S ribosomal RNA". It matches the Rfam family "Bacterial small subunit ribosomal RNA", at positions 28 to 507 of the family's 1533-position model. The record is from RNAcentral.
GACGAACGCUGGCGGCGUGCUUAACACAUGCAAGUCGAACGGAAAGGCGCUGCAUCUUUGUGGUUCGCGAGUGGCGAACGGGUGAGUAACACGUGAGUGACCUGCCGUUGACUUUGGGAUGACUUCAGGAAACUGGGGCUAAUACUGGAGAGGAGUGUCGGCUGAAUGGAGGGGGGGGGAAAGGGGCGGCGGUUGGGGAUGGUCUCGCGGCUGAUCAGCUUGUUUGGGGGGGAGUGGUUUACCAAGGCUCUGACGGGUAGCCGGCCUGAGAGGGUGACCGGCCACAUUGGGCCUGAGAUACGGCCCAGACUCCUACGGUGGACAGCAGUGGCGAGUAUUGCACAAUGGGCCGAAGCCUGAUGCAGCAACGCCGCGUGCGGGAUGACGGCCUUCCGGUUGUAAACCGCUUUCGCCUGUGACGAAGCGUGAGUGACGGUAACGGGUAAAGAAGCACCGGCUAACUACGUG